UACAGAGGUCUCAAGCGUUGUUCGGAUUCAUUGGGCGUAAAGGGCGCGUAGGCGGCACUGUUAGUCAGGCGUGAAAGUCCUGGGCUCAACCUGGGAACUGCGCUUGAUACGGCAGAGCUAGAGGAUGGAAGAGGGUCGCGGAAUUCCCAGUGUAGAGGUGAAAUUCGUAGAUAUUGGGAAGAACACCGGUGGCGAAGGCGGCGACCUGGUCCAUUACUGACGCUGAGGCGCGACAGCGUGGGGAGCAAACAGG
This 253-nucleotide ribosomal RNA is filed under the name uncultured bacterium. Its description in RNAcentral is "partial 16S ribosomal RNA". It matches the Rfam family "Bacterial small subunit ribosomal RNA", at positions 524 to 776 of the family's 1533-position model. The record is from RNAcentral.